UACGGAGGAGGCAAGCGGUAUCCGGAAUUAGUGGGCGUAAAGCGUCCGUAGGUGGUUCACCAAGUCUGCUGUCAAAGGGUGGGGCUUAACCUCAUAAAGGCAGUGGAAACUGGUGAGCUAGAGUGCGGUAGGGGUAAGGGGAAUUCCCAGUGUAGCGGUGAAAUGCGUAGAGAUUGGGAAGAACAUCGGUGGCGAAAGCGCCUUACUGGGCCUGCACUGACACUGAGGGACGAAAGCUAGGGGAGCGAAAGGG
Molecule: ribosomal RNA, 253 nt
Filed under: uncultured bacterium
Lineage: Bacteria
Description: partial 16S ribosomal RNA
Rfam family: Bacterial small subunit ribosomal RNA
Source: RNAcentral